CCUACGGGGCGCAGCAGUGAGGAAUAUUGGUCAAUGGACGAGAGUCUGAACCAGCCAAGUAGCGUGAAGGAUGACUGCCCUAUGGGUUGUAAACUUCUUUUAUAUGGGAAUAAAAUGUUCCACGUGUGGGAUUUUGUAUGUACCAUAUGAAUAAGGAUCGGCUAACUCCGUGCCAGCAGCCGCGGUAAUACGGAGGAUCCGGGCGUUAUCCGGAUUUAUUGGGUUUAAAGGGAGCGUAGGUGGAUUGUUAAGUCAGUUGUGAAAGUUUGCGGCUCAACCGUAAAAUUGCAGUUGAAACUGGCAGUCUUGAGUACAGUAGAGGUGGGCGGAAUUCGUGGUGUAGCGGUGCAAUGCUUAGAUAUCACGAAGAACUCCGAUUGCGAAGGCAGCUCACUGGACUGCAACUGACACUGAGGCUCGAAAGCGUGGGGAGCAAACAGGAUUAGAUACCCCAGUAGUC
This 460-nucleotide ribosomal RNA is filed under the name uncultured bacterium. RNAcentral's name for it is "partial 16S ribosomal RNA". It matches the Rfam family "Bacterial small subunit ribosomal RNA", at positions 338 to 795 of the family's 1533-position model. The record is from RNAcentral.